Non-coding RNA from Acanthosepion pharaonis, 100 nucleotides. The record is from the annotation of a GenBank genome assembly. NCBI's taxonomy places the organism in Eukaryota, Metazoa, Mollusca, Cephalopoda, Sepiida, Sepiidae.
CUAUCAACACCGGUUCUUGUACGAUCACUGUAGUUAAGCAACGUCGGGCCUGGUCAGUACCUAGACGGGUUACCACUUGGGAAUAACCAGGUGCUGUAAG